GAUCCUCUGAGUUAAGGGUUUGGGCGACAGACACCUUGCCUGCUUUGCCUCCUGAGAGGAGAGCAUUCGUGGCCUUCAUCUGACAAGGACUUGGGGAGCUGCUUCCAUGAUGGACCUGAGGAAGGGCCCGUUGCAUGGGACACUGCGGCCACCACGGAAACUCUGAGUCCUCACCUUCGUCUGCACCUCCCGGGAACAACACAGGAGACUGGCUCUUCCAGAACUAGGCCAAUGUCCUCACGAAGGCCAAGAUUUAGGCAGCACAACCAAGAGAUGAUGUUGUCCAAAUGCUUGUUGAAGUAGAGACACCCACUGAUUAAAAGCUGCAGAAGCCUCGCUAUCCAGAUGCAUUUACUCUUCGGACAUUCCAGGAUUUGACUGAGCAAGGAACAGGAUUCAGUCGGAUGCUCUCAGAGUCUGAAUUUCUGGCCUAUAUUAUUUACUCUCUCCAUGUGCUUCCUGGCACAAAUAGGGCAGCCUCCAGGGCUCCCGAGGACAGCUGCUCAUAUUCAUCUGACACCAUGUGGCCACAGAGCGGAAACUCAUCCAGUUUUGCCUUCUUCCGACCCAGGUCAAAGAGGUGAAACUUGCCAUUAGGGAAACCUUGGCAGAAGUAAGAAUGGGGGAAGGAGUGACAACUUCCAAGCUGUUGACCUGUCAGUGCUGAAACCAGCAGUCCCUUCAACGAGGGCCAAAUGAGCUCCUGCAGCUGUUGACUGUGUAAGGAAGCUGUAGAUUGUGCCUGACACCACAUCGCCCUUCUGACAGCUGUAGUUACCCACAGAAUUCUCAGUUCUGCCUGCAACCCAAGGAGACGAGCAUCCCUGUCUUCAUUUUACAGAGAUGACAGGAUAAGCCUUGUGCCGUAAGUCACACGGCUGUGACCCCUAAAUCCAGGAUUCCAGCCCUUGGCCUCCCUGGGCUACGGCAGCAGCAGCACCAGGAACCCUGUUAUAAAUGCAGAGUCUCAGGCUCUCACCCACACCGACUGCCUGCCGAUCUGCAUUUUAACAAGAACCUGAAUGGAGCUUUGUCGUCUCCACGGCAGAGCCAGCCUCUCCAUGGGCACACAGAACUGCAUGCUUCUGUGGACUUGGGGCAAAUCUGCUUUAUCACACUUUUUACAAAACAGUGAGGGUUCCACGGUAUUUUACAAGACUACAAGGUGAGAGCUUAUCUUGGGAUAGGAGGAUCCGUCUCCAUUCUGGGAGGUGCAAAGAAAAUGGGUCUUAGACCUCAAGCUCUGAGCCUCGAAUGCCAGACUUCUGCAUUCCUCUCUCCACCACCAGCAUUUCAUCCCAGACUCUGCUCAACCCAACUCAGCAACAGAGAAAUGAGAAAGGGACUUGGCUUCAGCCAGAGUGAACUUACUUGGAUGCUCCAGGGAAGCAGGAAGGUGCAGGGGUGGACACUAUGGAUGUGGGAGGUAGGAAUUCUCAGCGUGAUUGCCAUCCUAGAUACCUCCCAGGAGCCAGCCUGGAGGAUGGGGGCGGGGGCAGUGUAGCCCAGGACACGGGUACAGAGGCGGGAAGUCACCAGCACAGCAGGAUGGUCUAUACUGCAAGUCAUGGAGGGGCCUCGGUGCCACUUUGGAGAAGGAAAGAGGUAGCAUCUGCAGGGAGUGUCCUUUAAGUUGAGUCUUGACAAACGAGAAGGCAGCUUCAGUUCUGCCUCGCUCCGAUGAUAGAGAUCCUUUUGUUUCGGAUUAGACUAUUGGGUGCUUGAACUCUACUGACCUGCGAUAUGCAGUCUCUGUCAACAGUAAGAGCAUCUGCCCUUGUAGCAGCCCUCAUGCAGAACGAGAUCUCUGACAGACGGCUACUCUUAUUAGGUACUCUUAGCACAUAUUACUCUUAAUCAUCAUAACUGCCAACGAGGUUGGUAUCAUUGCUCCUGUUUUUGGAUGGGAAAUCAAAAGUCCAGAGACCAUACGUGAUGCUUCCCAGGUCACCCAGCCGCAAAUGGGAAUGUGUUUGAACUGCCAAGGGUAUUUAUGAAUGUAAGUGUUGAUGGGGGCUUCACAGUCUGUUGAUGCUUUUCCAUAUAGCCCUCACUGAUCGCCACUGGCUGGUGUUUAUUGGGGCUUGCAUAUAUCCAACAGAAGAGGUGGACGAAGUCAGCAUGUGGGCUUUUAAAAAAAUUAGCAUUUAAAUAAAGGAAACAGUCAUAAAUGUUGUUCACCAGUAGUAACUCACUCAGCUCUGCUUGGGAAACAUCACUUGGACACUUAUUAUGAGAAAGGUGGUCUAUGAGGGGUUAAGGUUGUCAGGUUGGGCAAGGUACCUUUAUGACAGAAAACACAUAGAAAUUCAGAUUGGGCAUCUAUGAUGUGCCUCCUAUAGAUACAGAAGUGAAUGCAGCUAGGACCGGUCAAAAUGUUAUAUUUUUGGGGACAGGUAGUUUGCUCAACUUAGCUGUUUACUAGUCCUAAUGUGUUAGGACUGAGUGGCAGCUAGAUUUCCUCGUGUAAGUAUGGCCUCUUCCCAUGCCAAAGAAAUGCCGUAAAGACCGAAAAUCGUCUCAGAUUUGGAAGCUCU
This is a long non-coding RNA of Cercocebus atys (sooty mangabey), 2537 nucleotides long. RefSeq lists it as uncharacterized. The record is from RefSeq and is a predicted model, not a curated record. The transcript is spliced from 6 exons. Lineage: Eukaryota; Metazoa; Chordata; Mammalia; Primates; Cercopithecidae.